UCAACCGAGAUUCCGCAAGUAGUGGCGAGCGAACGCGGAAAAGCCUGUAUAUGAUAAUGGUUAGGAUAGAAGAAGGGAUUGGAAACUUCCGCCAUAGUGGGUGAUAGCCCCGUAUUUGAAAUCUUAACCAUGGUACUAAGUAUACGAGAAGUAGGGCGGGACACGUGAAAUCCUGUCUGAAUAUGGGGGGACCAUCCUCCAAGGCUAAAUACUCAUCAUCGACCGAUAGUGAACCAGUACCGUGAGGGAAAGGCGAAAAGAACCCCGGAAGGGGAGUGAAAUAGAACCUGAAACCUGAUGCAUACAUACAGUGGGAGCAUCUUUGUGGUGUGACUGCGUACCUUUUGUAUAAUGGGUCAACGACUUACAUUCAGUAGCGAGCUUAACCGAGUAGGGGAGGCGUAGGGAAACCGAGUCUUAAUAGGGCGACUAGUUGCUGGGUGUAGACCCGAAACCGAGUGAUCUAUCCAUGGCCAGGAUGAAGGUGCGGUAAAACGCAUUGGAGGUCCGAACCCACGCAUGUUGCAAAAUGCGGGGAUGAGCUGUGGAUAGGGGUGAAAGGCUAAACAAACUCGGAGAUAGCUGGUUCUCCCCGAAAACUAUUUAGGUAGUGCCUCGAGUAUGAGACUGAUGGGGGUAAAGCACUGUUAUGGCUAGGGGGUUAUUGCAACUUACCAACCCAUGGCAAACUAAGAAUACCAUCAAGUUGCUCCUCGGGAGACAGACAUCGGGUGCUAACGUCCGGUGUCAAGAGGGAAACAACCCAGACCGCCAGCUAAGGUCCCAAAUGAUAGAUUAAGUGGUAAACGAAGUGGGAAGGCACAGACAGCCAGGAUGUUGGCUUAGAAGCAGCCAUCAUUUAAAGAAAGCGUAAUAGCUCACUGGUCGAGUUUUCCUGCGCGGAAGAUGUAACGGGGCUCAAAUCUAUAACCGAAGCUGCGGAUAUACUUUUGUAUAUGGUAGGGGAGCGUUCUGUAAGCCUGUGAAGGUGACUUGUAAAGGUUGCUGGAGGUAUCAGAAGUGCGAAUGUUGACAUGAGUAGCGAUAAAGCGGGUGAAAAGCCCGCUCGCCGAAAGCCCAAGGUUUCCUACGCAACGUUCAUCGGCGUAGGGUGAGUCGGUCCCUAAGGCGAGGCAGAAAUGCGUAGUCGAUGGGAAACAGGUUAAUAUUCCUGUACUUUGAUUCAAUGCGAUGUGGGGACGGAGAAGGUUAGGUUAGCAAACUGUUGGAAUAGUUUGUUUAAGCCAGUAGGUGGAAAGAGUAGGCAAAUCCGCUCUUUCUUAACACCGAGACGUGAUGACGAGUGUCUACGGACAUGAAGUGACCAAUACCACGCUUCCAGGAAAAGCCACUAAGCUUCAGUUGAAUCAGAACCGUACCGCAAACCGACACAGGUGGGCAGGAUGAGAAUUCUAAGGCGCUUGAGAGAACUCGGGAGAAGGAACUCGGCAAAUUGAUACCGUAACUUCGGGAGAAGGUAUGCCCUCUAAUGUUAAGGACUUGCUCCGUAAGCAUCUGAGGGUCGCAGAGAAUCGGUGGCUGCGACUGUUUAUUAAAAACACAGCACUCUGCUAACACGAAAGUGGACGUAUAGGGUGUGACGCCUGCCCGGUGCUGGAAGGUUAAUUGAAGAUGUGCAAGCAUCGGAUCGAAGCCCCAGUAAACGGCGGCCGUAACUAUAACGGUCCUAAGGUAGCGAAAUUCCUUGUCGGGUAAGUUCCGACCCGCACGAAUGGCGUAACGAUGGCCACACUGUCUCCUCCCGAGACUCAGCGAAGUUGAAAUGGUUGUGAAGAUGCAAUCUCCCCGCUGCUAGACGGAAAGACCCCGUGAACCUUUACUGCUGUCUCUUAUACACAUCU
RNAcentral lists this ribosomal RNA (1862 nucleotides) under Kingella kingae. Its description in RNAcentral is "partial 23S ribosomal RNA". It matches the Rfam family "Bacterial large subunit ribosomal RNA", at positions 225 to 2125 of the family's 2925-position model. The record is from RNAcentral. Lineage: Bacteria; Pseudomonadati; Pseudomonadota; Betaproteobacteria; Neisseriales; Neisseriaceae.